Molecule: long non-coding RNA, 275 nt
Filed under: Physcomitrium patens
Lineage: Eukaryota; Viridiplantae; Streptophyta; Bryopsida; Funariales; Funariaceae
Description: long non-coding RNA (PPAT_LNC003562)
Source: RNAcentral
UUUGAUUAGGAUUUGAUUAGGAUUUGGUCUAGGAUUUGGUCUAGGAUUUGGUUAGAAUUUGGUUACAUUUGAUUUAAGAUUUCAUUAGAAUUUAUUUAAGAUUUGAUUAGGAUUGGUUUAGAAUUUUAUUAGAAUUUAUUUAAGAUUUUAUUAGGAUUGAUUUAUAAUUUUAUUAAGAUAUUUUUAAGAUUUGAUUAAAAUUGAUUUAAUAUUUAAUUAGUAUUUAUUGAAAAUUAUAUUAAGAUUUGAUUAAAAUCAAAUUAAGAUUUUUAUUU